This 117-nucleotide ribosomal RNA is filed under the name Gammaproteobacteria bacterium RIFCSPHIGHO2_02_FULL_38_33. RNAcentral also lists the same sequence under 3 other names. The record is from RNAcentral. Lineage: Bacteria; Pseudomonadati; Pseudomonadota; Gammaproteobacteria.
CCUGGCGAUGAUAGCGAGUGGGUACCACCUGAUUCCAUUCCGAACUCAGAAGUGAAACUGCUCAGCGCCGAUGAUAGUGUAGAUGUAUGUCUAUGUGAAAGUAGGUCAUCGUCAGGU